UCUUGAUGAAGUGUCCCUUUGAUCAUUAUAUAUUGUCCCUCUGUGUCUCUCUUUACCUGUCUUAUUUUGAAAUCCACUUGGUCUGAUAUAAGAAUUAGGCAAAGAAUUUUUUUUCUCUGUCUGAUAGGCGGUCAGAAAUUAAACACGUUAAUCUCUGCUACUGUGUAUAAGGCCAAAUAUUAUUCCAGGGCUAUUAAACGGUUGUCAACAGCUGCUCUGAAAUCACAGACAGUGUCUAAUCCAGGUCUCAGAGGCUCCGCCUCACUCCUGGCUGCCUCACUGCCCCUCUGAACACCUUCAACACGUCAAUGGCUUGAUCCAGGAGCAAUUCAAACAACUCCUCUCCAGGUUCUGUGUCUGUGCUUCUUGGAAACCCCUCUUUAGAGGGCUUCUCUUGUAAGUUUAUUUGAGAGUAAAGAGGAUUUGCAUUAUAUUCACUUCCAUGCCAGUUAAAUGCGGUAGUUGAUGCUCCAUGUUAGUUUUCACUCCAUCAGAACCUUUGUUCAAUUGGAUCUUGGGUACUUCCUGGAAUUCUGUGGCUAUGGCUUUCAAUAUACUAAUUAUACUCAUAAGCAUCUGAUGAACAUUUUCUUGUAGUAGACAGUAUUCUAAACUACAUGCAUCAUCACAUUUCAUUGUCACAAAAUCCUUUGAGGUUAGUAUAAUUAUUUUUUAAAAUUAUUAGUCUGAGUAUGUACUAUAACUGUUUCUCUUAUCAGGAAAGGAAGGCAGAAGUUAACCAACUUGGGCAUCAUCACAUCAUUAGUAAGAGGCAGAUCUGGGAUUUGAAGCCAGGUGAUCUGAAGUGCCAUGCUCAACUGAUAAGAUGCUGCUGUCAUGUUCAGGGCUCAGUGGAGGAAAAGUGGGAGGGCCACACUUCUACUGCCCCAUUUGUUUAUUCCUAGUAAUACCACAAUAAAGGGUUGUGUGGAUGUUUACAGAGUUUGAGAAUGAUUCAAUUAAUAAGAGAAACAAAAAUUUUAAACUAUACACAAAAUAUGCCUAUUCCCGUGGUUCAAGGGAUGUAAAACGAACACAAAACAAAAGAAAAUGUAUGACGGGUGCUGUCCUCAUGGGCACAACACAGUUUCUGCCUAGGGUUGUCUGUCCUCAAGUUCAUGCCUCUGUCUUAAAUCCUCCAUAGUGUAAAUCAACACUAUCCUUUAGAAAAGGUACCCUCAGGUGCCCUGCUUCCUGCUUUCAGGAAUAGACUCAUUUUCUCCCCACUAGUGUGUAUUCUGACAUAUAAAAGUCCACAGACCAUUUCCCCCAAAGUGAAUUAUUCAAGCAGGCAUAGAGAUUGUAUUUAAGGAAAAGAUGCUCUAUAAUCUAGAGGAGAACAAUAGGAACAAUCUGUGGUCCAAAGGUCUUCACCACUGGCAUACCAUUCAAAAGGGGUUUGGGUGUUUGCGCCCACCAAACAGUCCUGGAUGGUGUUGCUAGGUCAAACCCCCUCCCCUUUAAGAUCACUCAUCAGCAUGAGGUAUAUAUAUCCUCCUCAAUCUUCUUGGUCACUCAACAGGAAAAUAAUGGUAUGCAUACACCUGAAUACACACACACACACACACACACAAGCUUACCACUCUCCAAAAAAUUGAUUCUCAGCGACAACACAGUCAGUUUAGAUCAUAAUUAGGAAGGGAAACAUUUCUCUAAAUAUCUGCACAAACUUAUGCCAACUGUAAGAACAGCAUUUCACCUUAUUGUGCAGAAUGAUCGAAAGCCCUGCUUUUUUUAUUCUCCUUCCAAACCGUGUUCAGUGGCCUCAGAGGUACAGAAAAAUGGGGCCAUGGAUCCUAUCUUUUCCAAGCAAUAGAGUCUCUGGUGCUUGAUUGCCAACCAAUGGCUGCACAAAGACCUGCCUGAAAUUCUGAAACUGUCAUUUUUCAAACCCCAUUUUAAGGCUGGAUAUUCACUAUUCUCUUUGAAAGAAGGGAGGCAGCAAGAUGGCUCAUCAUUCUCACAUUGCAAAUCAGAAAGAUAGGUAUAGGACCUGCUCUUCCAGGUACUUAAAAAUUUGUGACUCAACAGCACAAUGGUUAUCAAACCAUCUUACCUUUGUUAUGCAACCAAAACCUUCAAAGACAGCUGCCUCAAAUUUGUGGAACUUGGCUGUCCAAAGAGUAAGCCAUUUUGAAUCUUAAAUAGUCUUGUGACCUAGGAUAGAACAUGUUUGUAAUAACAAGAGCAAUUUGUGGUCCAAAAGUCCUCCCCUUUAGCUGCCAGGCAAGCAGAGGAGAAGAAGCCAUCAUUAAGUUAACCCUUGCUGCACCCUGGUUUCAGUGGGAAGAGGCAUAUUAUCCAUUAGAGAAAAAAGGCCGUGUCAAGCAGAAAAGGUCAGGAAAGUACAGUCAGGGAGGCAAAAAAGAGGUUGCAAUAUUAUGAAGUGAGGCCCCAGGAGAGGGAGCAGACAGAAGAUGCUAUUACAGAGACCAUAACCACAGCACUUAAGAAUUGUGCCCCUUUGUGAUCAGUCAUCCUCUGACUUGGACACCGUAUUUCAAUCACUCAUUGUGGGAAGAGCUGAAGAGUUGGAUUUUUGUCUUUUCCAAGAUAGGGAGACAUGACAGAACUCAGGGUCAGGCCUUUGAGAAAGCAAAAGGGGAGAGGAAGAAUUGACUCAGCAUUCAAAAUUCUGGAAACUAUGCCUGACUCUGGGCUUGGUCUGGGAAUAGAAUCAUUUCUAACAAUCCCGAACCAACACUUUUAUGCCUUCUUCUGGAAGAAAACUAAUUGUGCCUAGGAGUUUGGCAUCUAGAGCCACACUUGGAGAUUCCCAGAAAAUUCCAAAGAGAGGGGAGGUCUGGAGAUGGGGGGCGAGAUACAAGGAGAGCAUCUCCAGAACACAUCAGUAGAGUUCCUGUUAGGGAUCUACUCAAUCCUUUGGAUAUUUCUUCAGUCUGGUUACUCUGGGUUGAAGAGCUCCAGAUCUCACCCUGUUUCAGUGAAUCAGAGCUCAGUUAAUUUUCUUGCUGCUCACUCAUCUGAGAGAAACCAGUCUGUUCUGAACUGGAGUCCCUGACUUCAAAGGCCAUUCUAGAAGACACUGCUCUUGAUCUUCCUGCCCACUUGAACACACAAGACAAAUCUAAGACUUAGUGACAGUUAACCUUUAGCAGAUUACUCCUGCAGCUACCUCUACUCCUUGCCAUGCCAGAGCCUCAGUGCAGCCCCUGGCCUGUUGCUCUCUUUGGACGGGUGAACUCUGAGCGUAAUCUCUGCUGGCUGAAAUACCUGACACCUACUCUGGCUAGGAGGUCUCUGUGGCUCCUGAGAAUCCCAAACACCAAAAUCUUCCAUUAUCUUACCUCUGUUAUAUCCUUGUGCUUUGGCAUUGGGGAGCACACAUGACAGAGCAUUCAGUUCACUUUUGCUUGGGGAAAUAGAAAUAAUGAAUCCCACAGAGUUAUGUUGCACAGUGGUGGGUCCACCUUUUCCCAGUAUAACUUUAUAACAAAUUUGUGUGAACCUAAGGUCAGUCUUAUUACACUCAUGAGUGUUACACAUGGGUUUUCUUGGGUGGGUGACAAUGGGCAGAAGUUACAGCUAGGGGGAAGUAUAACUUCCAGUCUCUCUUCUCCAGCCUGACCUGUCAACGUCCCAGCAGUGGGUGGUAGGAAGGGCAUGUGAUGAGCAUCUCCUGUGACUGCAGUCAUGGAAAUUGGUCAAGAACUGCUUUUGAGGAUGGCUUGCAGGAGCCUCCCAUCCUAUAUUCAUCACUUCUAAAUGUGGUGGGCUACUCUCAGAGCUAGGGACUAGAAGGCAGUAGCUGGGGUGAUGGAACCCGGGCUUCAGGGAAUGGCCUCCAGGCAAAGCCCUCUUCCCCUUGGAAACUGAGAUUCUGGUGACUCAGUCUAGGAAAAGCCUCGGGAGAGGGGGCAAGGAGAAACUUUAGGAGGAGUCCUUGUGAAGAAGUUAGUUGUUGUUAUUCCUGGCCUUCCCAUAACUGAUCUCCUUUUCAACUAUGUUAAAUGUGUUAAGCUCCUAAGCUGGGCAUGUGGUAGGAGUUUAACUAAAGAAAAGUGGCGACUUGGAAUCUGUAUAUGACCCCAAAUUCAUAUUCCUUGUUUCUCUCACUUGUCAGAGAUGAUCCCUGACCUGAUAACUGAGAGGACAUGGAUCAAAAUCUCCCUCUGCUUUUACGUUGUGGUGAAAUUUUAAUUCAGCACUGUUUCUUAUGCAUAAAAUAAAGACAUUGGGCUAUAUUUCUUCUAGGCCCAACUGUUUUGUAUUACCCAUUUGUAAAAUGGUACCUUCAAGCCUGUCCAAAGCUAGAAAGUUUGGAGGGCAGUGAAAGGAGGGUAAAUGAGGCUAGGUCAGAGGCUGAUUUGGGUUGGGGAUGGGGAGGAGGGGGAGGUCAAGGGUUUCUGAGGUGAGAUCUAGGCACACUGGGCGAUGUUCUGAGGUUGAUCCAGGCUGCUAGAGGGACCUUGGGUCUGAGGCAGGGCUAAGUGUCAGGAGAACUAGUUGGCCUGACCCCGUUUUCCCUGCAGGCCUGGGAUUGAGGCAGGUUAGACGUUGUGGAGAAGAAACUGUCUUGGAGAAGAAAUGGGACUGCACUCCCAUCACACACUCCUUUCUCCUGCCUGUACGGAGGGUCUGCUGGAACCCCAUAAUAAAGGAAGUGUCUGUCUUCUCACCGACUCACCCGGGACCAGAUGGUUCCACCCUCAGGUCUCCUCACUGCUGAGCAGGGCCGGGGUAGUGCUUGUUUGAGGUCGGCAGAAGUAGCUGAAGAGGGUAUUGCUGAAUGCAGGAAACUUUCUCUGGGGGAAUUUUUGCGUUUAUCUUAUUUUCCCUUGCAUCCCAUGCCCUUGCACUGUCCUCCCGCAGGGGCAAAGUAAACACAACUUUGGGUAGACUACAAAGGAGCCUAAUUUGGCCUCAAAUCCAUUAUCUUGCUCUCCUUCUGUAGAGAGAGGGGAUGGGUAAAUGCUGUGCCUCUGGGCGGAACAGGAGCAGGACAGGACAGAACAGGGUGUCCUCCAACCCUGACUAGGAAAGACCAGCAAGGAAUGGAAGGGCCUUGGAUAGAAGCCAGAUGUGGGGGAGGCAGUGCAGGCUCUGGUCCCCAGGAGAGGCCUCAGGGAGGGCUGGGAACCUUUCUCAGGGCUCAGCUAUGUUGGUAGGGAGGAAAGAGCCGGUUGGCCAGUACAUCCCCCUCUACCUGUAGGAGGGAUAGGUGGUCCAGGUGUCCAAGUCCUGUCUGUGGCCCACACUAAGGUCCUGGGGUGAGAAGGGUAGAGAAGCUAAGCAGCUAGCUGAGGCUUCUGCCUGAGUUGAAGGCAGGCACGGGGUUAGCCUUUUGAAAGAGGUUUAUCUGGGGAGCAGCUCCUGAAUCUCCUGACGGUUCUGGGCCUCACCUUCUAGGAGCGACAGUGAGGGACAGUGGUGAGGGUGCAAAUUCCACAGUAAAAAAGCAGAAUAUCAUAUACAUCAUGUCAACUACGAUAGCAUUUAUUAAUGUGAACUUGUGAUAAAGGAAAUAAUAUUGUAUGGACAUAUGGCAAAAUAUUCACAUUGUGUUUUCACAUUCAGAGGCACAAAGGGAAUUUUAUUUAUUUCUUAAAGAGUUUGGCAUAUUUCCAAAAUUUCUGUUAUCUGAGAGUAACAUUUAAGUUGCCUGAACAAACACAGGAGAAAGACUCAGGGUGCAUGGGGCUUGGGGUUUAUGCCCAGAUUUUCAUCACUGCUUGCCCAGGUCAUGGUGCAGGAUCAUCUUCCCAGGCAGAACAAGGUGUUCUUUGCUUGGAAGCACAAGCUUGGUACUCUUAGCUCAGACCCUCAGGGACUUAUUUCCAUGGAUUGCUGCCUGUCUCGCACGUUCCAAAUGCGGGACUCACCAAGAUGGUCCCUGUGGGGAUUACUUCCUGACCAUGGCAUGUAAGUCUUAGACCCCAGCCAGGCUUGUGGGACGCCCCGCCUCCACUAGUUUCAGUGGAGUUUGCUGGUGAAUGUUGUCUCUGCCAGGCAGAGGAGAUUCUUCUUCUUCUUUUUUUUUUUUUUUACUGAAGACAGCCUUUUUCUUACCUGUUCUCCCUAUUUUCCCAUUGUCAUCUGUGAUUCGGGGUAGAGCCCAACCCAGAGCUCCAGCCCGGGGACUCUUCCCCAGGUUGAAAGAGAAGGAGACAGUAUGGUGUCCUGGAAAGAUAAUGGCCCACUGACUCAGACAGAUGUGCGCCCUGUUCUCUGGGGAAAACUACUCCAACUCUGAGCACCCCUGGUCUUCAACUUAAGAUGAGAUCAAUUAUUUAUAACCUAUGAAGUUGUUCAGAGAAUUUGAAGAGAUCAAGUGUGUAACAACCCAAAGAAUGUUUGACACCAACUAGGAUCUUAAUAUCUGUUCCCUCUCCUUUGCCAUUACCCAUGUGUGUUACUAAGUCCUAACAACUGUAUCAGAUAUACCUCUGAUAGUCCUCUUUUCACUUAUGAGGUCACAGAGGCACAGAGAGGUUCAGUGACUUGUUUAAGAUCACUCAGAAGGUAGGUAGCACACUUGGGCUUCCAUCCCAGGUGUGCAGGGAGUACCCUCCUAGUGAAGGUUAUGUGAUGGAUCAUACUAGGGUGAGCAUAUGUUUGGCUCUGGGAAUGAGCAGUCUCAGAUAAAUGGGCCCCACAUUCACUCUCUCCCCAUGACAGGGGAAUCUGCCAUUACCAUUGCCUGUCUUCUGUGUCGUGACUACUGACUGCAGGGUUAAGGCCAGGAAUUUCAUCCUGCAAGCUUUCAAGAAGGGGCUGUCAGUAGAAAGGCACCAUUCCCUUGUGCCUCUCAGGAUAAACCACACCAACCAUGCCAUUCCUUUUCCAUCAGACGUCUUUGGUUACCUGGUAUGUGCAAGGCAUCAUUCGGUGCUGAAGAGAAAGCAGUGAACACAACACAUGAAACUCUUGCACUCCUGGAGCUUUCGUUCUUGUGAGAGGAGAGAGACAAAAUAAACAUAAAUACGGAAAAGCUAUGGAAUGACAAAUCGGGUUAAGUCCUCUGGAGAAAAGUCAGACAGGGAAGGGGCAUGAGCAGUGCGGUCAGGGAGUUUUGCACACAGAUAUAAAUAUAUUGGGAGAAGCUUCCAGAUAGGAUACCACUUAGUGGAGGCAAGAGAGAUGGCACGAAUAUAUGUCACCAUCUGGAGGAAGUAAGGUCAAGGCGGGGAACUGUGGGAAACUCAUUUCCAGCCCUCUCUACCUCCCCUCCAGUCACCCUUUCUAGUGUCUAAUCCAAAUAUAUCUUCCUCUUUUUCCCCAUAACACCCAGUGUAAGUCUGUCCCACUGUAAUAAUUUAUGAUCUUUGUCUCCCUCGAAAAAAUUAAUAACUGAGCCUUGAGGGAAACUGAGAUCAGCUUCACUUCCUCACCUGUUUUUCCUGGGCUGUCCCAUCCAUCCUUCAGAGGGAUGCUACACUGGGCAGUCAGAUCAUCUCUGGAGUCUUAGGUUCUGAUCCUGGUGACUUACUGUGUGAGGGAUGUAGUACCACUGGAGGUCAUGCUGAGGCAAGUGCCUGGGAUGGUUAUGGUACUUGAAAAGGACUGAGCAACUCACUCACAAGUACUCAGUGACCCCAGCUUUGUUAUAUCUGAAAGACAUCUGAAAUACAACCGAAGUGAAGAGGUAGCAGGGAGAGCUUCUACACCAAUGUUAAUUCUUAUCUUAUGAUAGAUCUCAUAAAAUGAAAUGAGUGUUUGGGUGGCUUGAAUUCUAAGAAGCUGGAGGAAUGCAAACACAGACAGGGUGUACCCUCUUCUGGGAAUGUUGUAGAGAGGAUUCAGUUGGUUUGAUCUGAAAUUUAUGAUUCUGUGAUUCUAGUGAGAUGCCUGAGGGCAGGUGAUAGGAAUAAAUAAAGCUGGAACAUCCCACCAGGACCUUCUCAAGAAUGGGCUCCAGGAUGUUCCGGCUGCUUCUGCUGGGCAUAUUCACAGCGCUCUUCAUGGACGAGGGCAACAGAGUCCUGACAUCGAAAUGUAUGGUGUAGUUGGUUUGCAGUUCUGGGAUAAAUAAUGCCAUUAUGAGAGGGGAUAUUCUUGAUUUCUUUACACGCUGUCUCUCUGCCCUCCCUCACUCUUCUCGCUCACGGCUGUAGUGUCUCCUGUCUGCCCCCAGGCUUGGGUGAAGUCGCGGGGCGGGGCUGGGGGGGGUCCUUGACUCCUUGAAGGGUCAUAGCUAUCACCCAUUCAAGGAGUAAGGACUCCUAGCAGAAGCUGGGAGGUAUGGCAACUUCCUUCUUGUGAGGACUGUGCCACUCAAGUAUAAAUACUUACAGGUGGGGGCAGCCUUCUGCAGCAGAAUCACUUUCCCUAGAGCUCUGCUUUGAAGUUUUCCUUUUUUUCUUUAGGGAUUCGAUAUUGCCAUAAAUGUGAUCUCUAUGAUGGAUACAAAUGCCUCAGUUCCAUGGGACGUUGCUGGAAGUUUAAUGUAUUGAAUUAUGAAAGGGUUUGUACCACAGAUCACUUUUACUUUAAUGAUCGCCUUACAGGUAAGUGGGGGUCAGAGAAAGACAUGGAAUAUUACCAGUGGUACCCACAGUCCCAGGCUUAUGGUGUGGGGGGAGACUGGGACCACGGGAGAGGGUGGGGAAAGCGGGAUUCUCCAUACACAGAUGUGGGGUGGAGGCUGUGUGGGAGGCAGAUGUCUUUUGCCUGGUCCUGUCUAGAGAGACAUAGAUGAGAUGCAGACACAGCCUUGGGGCUCAUUCCAGCCUACAGAAAAAUGAGGAGGGUCUGGAAAGAAGUCAUUGUUAGGAAGAUGGUGCGAUUAAGCAAGGUGAUCACCUUUCUUUUCUUUUCCUCUUUAGGGAGAUAUUUCUAUCGUUAUUCAACUCUAUCUUGUAGGGCUUGUGAAGAGGGAAUGGUCCGGCUAUUCCAUGACUUAGUGAGAGAAACGUAUUGCUGUAAUUCGGGAGACAGGUGUAAUGAUGGCGACAGCAGUAUGGAUCUUAUACAUCCAUAUCGAAGCAGACCGAAGGAGGACAAUCCAGAAUCUACUUAAGAUUUUAAACCGUCUCUCCCAGUAACCUUUGCCCUUCUGCUACCAAUGGCAACAUCAUCUCACACUUUCUCAGACCUAAGCCCAACUCUCUGUUCCAGCAGAUCUACCUAUGGAAGCUCUUUCUCUUCCGCAUCAGUGCUUCUAAUAACAGGAAAGUGUAAAGCCAUAGGCCACAAAAACCCCAUCACUGCUUUCUGGUUGGAUUUGCCUGUCUUUGCUACCUAAUACCUAUUGGCAAUCUUUACCUGCCCUUACGUUCUGAUGCUAAACCUGGGCUAAAGUCAGAGUUGUAAAGUUUCUGGAAAGGGGGCAAAGUAUUUUUCUGGUAGAGCUUCUGAGAGAAGAUCAGGAGAAAGCAGACUAGAUAGAAGUAGGAACAACACAUCACAGGAGAUUUUUAGGAGAAAUAUUUGGGAGGAGAGUAGACGAAGUAUUUGAUGGACAGUAGAAAAGGCUCGUGUUAAGUAGGGGCUUGAGAAAGUUAAUGUGAAAUUAGAAAACUCUAACUUCUGUGAAAGGAAUAGUCAAUGUACUAGACCUCAGAGUCUUAGUGCCUUCCACCAUUUUGGGAAACUGUACCAAUCACAGCUACUCCUGACCACAUAACCUUAGCUCACCACGUUUCUAAUCAUCUUAUCUUGUUCUCAUGGCUAAGGCCAAGUAAAUCAGGAUAGACACUUGGCUGAGUGUUGGCCAAUUAAUCUCCUUGCAUAUAAGAAAUACUCUACCACCUAGUCCUCAAAAAUAUUUAUAUAUUACCUUGCCUUCAAUGCACUCUUUGAUAGAAAGCUGAAUGUUUUUCAUCUAUUGGCCCAGCUCUGCAACAGAUAAUGUCAAGGAGAGAUAAGAGUUUCAGAUCUUCACUGUAGUUUUUCUAACAAAAAUAAUAAGCUCUGAAAUGGCAAAACUUAAUCCCCAAAUUAUUCUUCACUCACUUUAGGUUAAAUUUUUUUUUGUCAUAUUAACCUUCGUAUGUGUUAGAAUCUAGACACUAUUGUAUUUGGUUUUUAGUUAUAUAAUUAAAUACACAUAUAUAAUAUUAUACUAGGUUUAGUAGUAUUCCUUCUAAUAUCCAGGCUUAUGAUUGCUUAUUACUUUCUGCUGUAUUAUAGUUGCAUAAAUAGAACAAAAUAUUUUAAUAUACAAAUUAAUUUUAAAUAUUUGCAAUAUAUGUGAGCUGGGAUAGCCUCCAAAUUGUAUCAUGUUAGGACGGAUAUUAUACUUUAGUAGCUUGAGAAGUAGAAAAUAUGGUAGAUUCUUCCAUUCAGGGUUGAUUUGUCCAUAAUUAGUUUAUAUGGAUAGCAUGGAGAUGCUAGCACGGUCCAAUAAUGAAAUGAUUCGUGGGUGAAUUACUGCUCUGUGUUAGUGCUUAGAAUGGUCCCAAGCAAGAAACUAAGAGGAAAGCUUCAGACUAGAGAAGAGACGCAAUGUGGAUGGUGAAGAAGUUAACUGGUAGCAGAAAGAGUAGCAGCUAGACACUGAGUGAUACAGAUGAAUGGAGACUGACUUGUAGAGACUGACUCACAAUCUUGUAGCUAAGCUUGAAGUGAAGAUUCAUGAACCACUGUGGCGAAACCCCCAGAGUUUCAUCAUAUCCAGUCUGGCCCUCUAGGUCCAAUCUUCUCUAGCCUGUCCCAUUAUGUUUUCUGUCUUGGAUUGCCAUGAGAUUCUGACUCCUACAUUGCCCCAUGUUACAAUACCCCAUCACUCCUAAUUUUCUUGGUCCAAUUGAAGUACGUCUCUGUUCUUUACAUUUUAAUAAGAAAACCAAAUGGGAAGUAGAGGAAACAAUGAGGGAGGCCAGACCCUGAACAAGUGCAGUAAUUCUAGAUUCAGGUCCAGAAUACUGUUCCAGGGUAAGGAAUCCUUGCUUAGGGGUGAACCUAGACUGGCAAAAUUGAUCAAAGGAGGAAAACCAACUGUAUGGAACUAUAAACAUGUAGGAUUAUUAAUAUUAGGAAAAAAGGAUUUCUUUUGCAUAAGUGCAAAAUCCUAGAAAUCCAGUAGAAAUGUGUUCAUUAUUGACAAAAUAUCAGAAAACCACAUCUCAAAACUUUUGUUCUGUUUGCAAAUUUUGUACAAGUCAUGGUUGGAUGGAAUAUCAGGUGGCUGGCUCCAUAAUCUCAGUGUACUCUCUCUGGAGGCAUUAUAUGAUCUGGGGCUUACUAUUUGACCUCAUGUUUUUUAUGGACUGGCCUCUAAAACAACUGCUGAAUGUUUCAAAAUGUGCCUUGUGUGUAUUCCACACAUAUGUGUGGAUUGCCUGAUUUAUGCUGUAUUGGUGCUGCUAAUGGUGACAAAGAAAAACUGGAUAAACAAAAAUUAAUUGUAUUCUUUUACGAUUUCAGUAUAUGUUUAGUUGUAGUUCUAUUGCAGACUCAUUGGGGCAGACUGCUCACUGGCCCUCAGACAGAGGAAACAGCCCCCAGGAAGGACACUGUGAACCACGACUGGGAAGAGGCUGUGAGUCAGGAAGCUGCAGCUGCCUGCCUUAGGGUUCUUGGGUUGGCUUUAAAGCUUUGCUUAAGACUUUUAAAGUAGGACUGCGGUCUUUCAGUUGGGAACAAAUUGGAGGGAGCUGUGUAAUUUAUGAACCUCCACAAAUUAUCUUAUAAAAAAGGCAGAACAAUGAGGAUUACAAAAGGAAAGUGCCAUAGAAAAAAUCGGGUCCACUAGGGUGGCCUCAGCCCUUGAGGAUCUCAGAAAUAUAGAAAUAUGCCACUAGAAUUCCUUCCGUAAAAAUAGAGCUCCGUCCUGAGGAAGAAAGCAACCAUUGGUAGAGAUGAAAUUGAGCAGAGUAGAAAGACUAAGGGUACAGGAGAAAGUUCAAAUAUUGGUUGGGGAGGGGAGAAGCGGUAGGAAAUCUUGGAAAUCACUACAGAGGUUGCUAUAUAGAGAUGAAAAACAUUUUUAGCUACUUCUGUUUCAGUACCUUCAAGAGAUGGAGCUAGGAAAGCUCUCCUGGUCCACUUCCAUUCCCAACACAGGAAUCUCCUUAAGCACUGGAAGAACACUUUUUUUUUCUUUUUGAGGAAGAUUAGCCCUGAGCUAACUGCUGCCGAUCCUCCUCUUUUUGCUGAGGAAGACUGGCCCUGAACUAACAUCCAUGCCCAUCUUCCUCUACUUUAUAUGUGGGAUGCCUACCACAGCAUGGCGUGCCAAGCGGUGCCGUGUCCACACCCGGGAUCCGAACUGGUGAACCCUGGGCUGCUGAGAAGAGGAACGUGCGACCUUAACCGCUGCACCGCUGGGCCGGCCCCAAAAGAACACAUUUACUUUAAACAUGUAUGACAUAAGAGGACUGCAGAUGAACCCAUAUGCUAAUGUUGUAGGAAAAGUGAACUGAAUACCAUACUGAUAGAAAAUGAAAGAAUACCACAAAAAUAUGGCUUCAAAAUAGAUAGAAACUCAAUGUGACAUUUUAAAGGGAACUAAAAGAAAUGAGAGAAAUGAUAGAAACUAUGAAAAAGCAGCAUAGAUCAAAAUAAAAACCAUUCAGCUUGC
This is a non-coding RNA of Equus caballus (horse), 12484 nucleotides long. The record is from RefSeq and is a predicted model, not a curated record. Lineage: Eukaryota; Metazoa; Chordata; Mammalia; Perissodactyla; Equidae.